ACGUGGGCAAAGCACCUGAGCUUUUCUGCUCCAGAUUACCGGCAGAGAAUUGGUUAUUCAGUGAGAAGUGUGCGUUAAUGAGCAACACAGAAAUGCAGGUACUACCUUCAGAUGCUACCAGAGUUGUGGCUCCACUGCAGUUGAGGCAGUGUAGCAGAGACUUGGAUCUGAUGUUGGAGUUGAGCAAAGCUCCGGGACAUCCAAUCUUCAGCAAACCCAACCAGAGCCACAGGAACAUCGGCUGGUUCCCCAGGAACAGCGCCACCGCGUCUCCUUCCUUUACGCAUCCAGCCUGCAGAAACGCUCUCGCAGCUCUGUUGCUCAGGACAUCUGCUUCCCGCACGUACUGGACAUCCUGGAAGAGAUAAGGAUGGCGGAGUAAAACGCCACAUACAAUCAAGGCUGCACACACCGUCCAGACCAACAUGUUUGUCUCCCAGCUGUCCUGCUGAAGACA
This is a long non-coding RNA of Haplochromis burtoni (Burton's mouthbrooder), 457 nucleotides long. RefSeq lists it as uncharacterized. The record is from RefSeq and is a predicted model, not a curated record. Lineage: Eukaryota; Metazoa; Chordata; Actinopteri; Cichliformes; Cichlidae. The transcript is spliced from 3 exons.